Molecule: ribosomal RNA, 253 nt
Filed under: uncultured bacterium
Lineage: Bacteria
Description: partial 16S ribosomal RNA
Rfam family: Bacterial small subunit ribosomal RNA
Source: RNAcentral
UACGUAGGGUGCGAGCGUUGUCCGGAAUUAUUGGGCGUAAAGAGCUUGUAGGCGGUUUGUCGCGUCUGCUGUGAAAUCUCAAGGCUCAACCUUGAGCUUGCAGUGGGUACGGGCAGACUAGAGUGUGGUAGGGGAGACUGGAAUUCCUGGUGUAGCGGUGAAAUGCGUAGAUAUGUGGAGGAACACCGAUGGCGAAGGCAGCCCCCUGGGCUAACACUGACGCUCAUGCACGAAAGCGUGGGGAGCAAACAGG